Molecule: ribosomal RNA, 611 nt
Filed under: uncultured Bacteroidales bacterium
Lineage: Bacteria; Pseudomonadati; Bacteroidota; Bacteroidia; Bacteroidales
Description: bacterial SSU rRNA
Rfam family: Bacterial small subunit ribosomal RNA
Source: RNAcentral
GUGAGUAACGCGUAUGCAACCUACCUAUCAGAGGGGAAUAACCCGGCGAAAGUCGGACUAAUACCGCAUAAAACAGGGACACCGCAUGGUGAUAUUUGUUAAAGAAAUUCGCUGAUAGAUGGGCAUGCGCUCCAUUAGGUAGUUGGUGAGGUAACGGCUCACCAAGCCGACGAUGGGUAGGGGAACUGAGAGGUUGGUCCCCCACACUGGUACUGAGACACAGACCAGACUCCUACGGGAGGCAGCAGUGAGGAAUAUUGGUCAAUGGGCGAGAGCCUGAACCAGCCAAGUCGCGUGAAGGAAGAAGGAUCUAUGGUUCGUAAACUUCUUUUGCAGGGGAAUAAAGUGCAGGACGUGUCCUGUUUUGUGUGUACCCUGAGAAUAAGGAUCGGCUAACUCCGUGCCAGCAGCCGCGGUAAUACGGAGGAUCCGAGCGUUAUCCGGAUUUAUUGGGUUUAAAGGGUGCGUAGGUGGUUUGAUAAGUCAGCGGUGAAAGUUUGCAGCUUAACUGUAAAAAUGCCGUUGAAACUGUCGGAUUUGAGUGUAAAUGAGGUAGGCGGAAUGCGUGGUGUAGCGGUGAAAUGCUUAGAUAUCACGAAGAACUCCGAUUG